UUCUCUGUCUUUAGCCGCAAGUCUUCUUAACUAAAAUUUUAGUUGGCGACGACUGAUAUCAAACAACGGCCCAAGGCUCCACUAGGCAACCACGUGACUUGUUGAUUCAACAUUUUUGCAAGCACGAACACACGAAUGAUUCCACUCGGUGUAAUAUCAACUCCAGUCGCUUGUCGAUGUAUGAAGCAAAGGGUUUGCCACGAAUCGUGACGAUCGAUCUCCCUCCCACAAGAUGUUCUUUGUGUACCAGCACCAGUGGGUUGCGAGAACAUGUCUUUGCUUGGUAACUGAUGCAGAGUGGCUGACAUCAAUAAAAUUUUUGAUAUUUUGAGAACUAUUACGAAGGGCAGGACAAUUCACGCAGGAUACUUGAAGUCUUUGCUGCGGUCCAACAGCACUAUUAUGGCAUCACUAGGUCCGUAGUGCAAGAGUUUGUAAAAACCUGCCAAACUUGUUCAUGCAAGCAGCGCCAGAUGUCUGUUGCUUCUAUCGGCCUAUACCCUCUCCAGGCUUUAGGAAAGGAGGGCAAGUCAAUUUAGUGGAUAUGUCACACAAUGCCGACAAUGAAUUCAAAUGGAUUGGCCAUUACAUAAGUCACUUUUCAAAGUUUAAUAUUAUUUGGCCGCAACAGAAGAAUACGGCAUUUGAAGUUACAAGAUGCCUUAUUUAAGCAAAUCUUUAGCAUUGUUGGAAUACCAUUGAUUUUGCAACAUGACAACGGAACAGAGUUUUGCAAGAAGGUAAUGCUGCUAUAAAGCCAUGUGUGCUCAAUUGGUUAAAGAAUGCAUUUAGAGUGCAAAUAUCCGGGACUUUUGGGUCAGAAGUUUAAUAUGCAGGAUGGGCGCACUUAGGCAAGGAACUCGCAUGCAAUUGCAUUUCUCUCUCAGUAUGGAGUAUUGUUUCUGUCAAAAACAAGUACAGCAAGUGCAUAGUGACUGAUGGUUGUAGCUAGAUUUACUUUGUAGCAAGUGUAUAGUGACAUAGUGACUGUUGGUUGGCACGAGCUACAUAGUAGUAGCAAGUGUAUGGUGACUGUUGACCUGGGCCUUAAUUAAGGGCUCUUGUAGAAAUGUAUGUAUGUAUGCAUGCAUGUAUGUAUACUGACUGCACAAUCUAUCAACUUAUAACAUCGUCUUUCUUUUCUUGUAUUAAAAUAAUUCAAAAAUUUUUGUUGUAUUGCCCAGGAGAUUGCAAAAUUAUUACUGGGCGAUCUCAUCGUUCUCUAGUAGCAGAGCAAGCCCACAGAACACUCACACAUAUUCUUGCUGCAAAGAGAACUGACAUUGCAACUCUGCCUGGAUCACCUACCUGCCUCUUGUCCAAUGUAUUGAGUUGAUUCGAAUUACUUGAAGUGACCAUUCUGUGGCUGAUGGUCAUUUCACUAAUUAUUCGGCUAUAGAGACUAUUUCACGUCUCUAAUCUGUACUGGUGCUGCUAGAUGAUACUAAACACGAUGGCGAAACAUUCAGUGAUAGCAAAGCUAGUCACAACUUGUUCUCCAUAUCAGAUGAUUGGGCUUGAUGGUACCUAUUGGUACGACGGACGUGAUGUUAUUUCUAAUGUGGACUCUGCUUCAACUGAAUGUGCAGAUUACAGCUCAGAAAGUAUUCAAGCAGAUUUAGUACGUUGUGCCAUCUGUCUCCAGUUACUGACAACAACAAAGAAAGUGAAGAUGAUCCUUCUAGCGAUGAUUUUAUUUCUAUCUUACAAGCAUCUCCUCUACCACAGGAAGUAGUUCCUCAUUCAGCUGCCUGAGGUGGCCGGAUGGGAAGGCUUCACUGCCAGUUAAUGGGAGAAACGAAUUGCAAGAUUUGCCGGUAACAUCCCCACUUAGCAAGGUGGCAGCAUGGACUGCAGUGACAUUCUACAGCAGAGUACAGUACUUCAAGUACCAUUCCAGGACAACUACUUUCUAAUGGCCGGUCUUAGCACUUGUAACUGAGUUGAAAUGCUAUAUUACGGAAGACGUGAAUACCCUAACAUGCUCCAACUUCCACGAAGAUGAAAGUUUGAGCCUUUGCUUAAUUUGCAUGGCAUUGCCAGUUACGAAACAAUCUUGGUUGUUAAGACUUCAUCUGUGUGAGAAAGACGGGCAAAGUGUUUUUUGCUCACUUACCUUGGACUAUCUUGCACCUAGUUUUUGGACGGCAACAAUGAGCCUAGAGCAUAAUGGACAUCCAGGCAAUACAGAGAGAUCACAUCUUACAGCCAGUUGACGAUAGCUAUGGGAAACACUGGGCAAGACAUACUACAACAUUAUUCUUCCAACGUUUGCUGUGAUAAAGAUUAGAAAGACUUUUCUACUUCUGCAGAGUACACAGGAUUUCAGUAUUAGGGUUACAGCAUGUAAAACUCAUUACUUGAUGUAUUUGCAAUUUAAUUAAAUCUACUUUGAUCCGAUGCUGCACAGU
This is a long non-coding RNA of Corticium candelabrum, 2411 nucleotides long. RefSeq lists it as uncharacterized. Lineage: Eukaryota; Metazoa; Porifera; Homoscleromorpha; Homosclerophorida; Plakinidae. The transcript is spliced from 9 exons. The record is from RefSeq and is a predicted model, not a curated record.